Molecule: transfer RNA, 96 nt
Filed under: Blumeria graminis f. sp. tritici
Lineage: Eukaryota; Fungi; Ascomycota; Leotiomycetes; Helotiales; Erysiphaceae
Also listed under: 1 other name
Rfam family: tRNA
About the family: Transfer RNA (tRNA) molecules are approximately 80 nucleotides in length. Their secondary structure includes four short double-helical elements and three loops (D, anti-codon, and T loops). Further hydrogen bonds mediate the characteristic L-shaped molecular structure. tRNAs have two regions of fundamental functional importance: the anti-codon, which is responsible for specific mRNA codon recognition, and the 3' end, to which the tRNAs corresponding amino acid is attached (by aminoacyl-tRNA synthetases). tRNAs cope with the degeneracy of the genetic code in two manners: having more than one tRNA (with a specific anti-codon) for a particular amino acid; and 'wobble' base-pairing, i.e. permitting non-standard base-pairing at the 3rd anti-codon position.
Source: Rfam by way of RNAcentral
GGCCUGGUGGCCUAAUGGUAAGGCGUUGCUUUCCGGAAAUCGUUGUGUAGACGAUGUGCAUGGCAAAGAUUGCGGGUUCGAGUCCCGUCUGGGUCG